GCAUUUUUUGAAGAGUGAAAAUCCUCCCUUUGGCCAUUAAAGCAUGGAUAGGAAAAUUACCAGUUUCUUGAUCUAGUAAUUGUCUUGGCCCUAGAAGCCAAAUGGAAAUCAAUAAGUAAGGGGUGGUGAUCGAAUAAUAAAUUUAGUAUUUUGUUCCAUAAUGGUUCUAUCUCAUUCCAUCAAGUUAAUUUAAUUGAGAAUGACAUGCUAGCAGUAAUAGCUGG
Molecule: long non-coding RNA, 224 nt
Filed under: Nicotiana benthamiana
Lineage: Eukaryota; Viridiplantae; Streptophyta; Magnoliopsida; Solanales; Solanaceae
Description: long non-coding RNA (NBEN_LNC000948)
Source: RNAcentral